GUCCACGCUGUAAACGAUGUGUGCUAGACGUUGGGGAGCCUAGCUCUUCGGUGUCGCAGCUAACGCUUUAAGCACACCGCCUGGGGAGUACGGCCGCAAGGUUAAAACUCAAAGGAAUUGACGGGGGCCCGCACAAGCGGUGGAGCAUGUGGUUUAAUUCGACGCAACGCGAAGAACCUUACCAGCCCUUGACAUGUCCGGUAUGGGUGGGGGAGACCCCACUCUUCAGUUCGGCUGGCCGGAACACAGGUGCUGCAUGGCUGUCGU
Molecule: ribosomal RNA, 267 nt
Filed under: uncultured bacterium
Lineage: Bacteria
Description: partial 16S ribosomal RNA
Rfam family: Bacterial small subunit ribosomal RNA
Source: RNAcentral